This is a non-coding RNA of Schmidtea mediterranea, 78 nucleotides long. The record is from Rfam. NCBI's taxonomy places the organism in Eukaryota, Metazoa, Platyhelminthes, Tricladida, Dugesiidae.
UAUUUCAACACUUGGUAAUUUGCUCAAACCAAUGUCCGAAAAGGAGUCUGGUGAGCAAAGUUUCAAGUGUAUAUAUGU